This is a long non-coding RNA of Monomorium pharaonis (pharaoh ant), 1151 nucleotides long. RefSeq lists it as uncharacterized. The transcript has 2 exons. NCBI's taxonomy places the organism in Eukaryota, Metazoa, Arthropoda, Insecta, Hymenoptera, Formicidae. The record is from RefSeq and is a predicted model, not a curated record.
AACAAUUGCAUUCACGCUUGUCAUGGACAAGUUGUCAUCAUGAGAUAAUGACGAUAUCAUAGAAUAUAAUCGAGCCUGCAAUGCAGCUUCCAUCGAAUGCCUUUGAUUAUUUUCAAUCACCAUACCAUCGGAAGCAAAGAUGUCCGGAAUUUAAACGUUAAAACUCCAAGACCGUGUAAGGAAUCGAUAAAUUGAGAAAAAAAGUCCUUGGAGUUCGUUUUUGUUUCUUUUUGAAAAAAAUCCCAAGAAACAAUUUUUAUCUAUUUAUUUAUUUCUUCUACAACCUUCCGUAGGUUUUGGUUCUUUCAACAAUUCUACACUAUUCUUUUCUAACGUUCUAACUCUCCUUCAACCUCUGACAUCUUUAAGUUUUCUUUGACUCCAUUAUCUUCUUAAUCUGCUCGGCCCAGCUCUUGCAGGUUUUCAUUUUAUCACAGUUCUUGUGUUUUUGUCUGUCCGUUCUGUCAGAUGUUUUAAUUCUUUGUAAUUUAAUAAAACUAAAUAUCCUUAUUGACUAACAAAGAAACGUUUUUAGUUGUAAGUCUCCGAUUUGAAUAAGUUUGAAAUAUGUUGUAGAGUAGCUAAAAAUAAAAGACGUAUUUUUUUUAAGUGCCCAAGCGUUUAGAGUGUAAAACAUCCGUUUAAAAAAAUUGUUUUCUCCCUUUUGGAACGAAUACCGACUAUAAAAGAUAAAAAUUUUUUAAAGUAAAAGUUAAAUAACUCCAGAGGUACUAUAAAACAGUGGAAAACAAUUUGUUUUAAUUUUUCAAAAUACCCCUAUCACUUAACAUUUUUUUCAAAAUUUUGAAAUUUAUUUACGACCAAAUCAAAGGUUAUUUUAUUACAAAUUUAGCUAUGUAUGAUAAUGUUAUGCUAUGGAAAACCAUUUUCGAGAAUUAAUUAUAGUUCCUCUACAGAUACGCUUUCCGUUUGUCUAUGCGCUCGAAUCUUCAUGCAACGUUCGGUUCUUCUUUCCGUAAUAAAGGAUUCCAACAAAAUUACCUUUUUAAAAAAGGUAUUUUGUAAAGAAACGCUAAGUAUACGCGCACAAGAAACGCCCUAAGAAAUGUAUUCUUGUAUAAAAUAAUUUUAAUUUGGCACUAAAAAUGUAUGAAAUUUUAAUAAAGUAAUUCCCCCCCCCAAAAAAAAAA